Molecule: ribosomal RNA, 328 nt
Filed under: uncultured eukaryote
Lineage: Eukaryota
Description: partial 18S ribosomal RNA
Rfam family: Eukaryotic small subunit ribosomal RNA
Source: RNAcentral
CCCUUAGAUGUCCUGGGCCGCACGCGCGUUACACUGAUGCAUUCAACGAUCUUAUAACCUUGGCCGAGAGGCCUGGGCAAUCUUGUUAACGUGCAUCGUGAUAGGGAUAGAUUAUUGAAAUUAUUAAUCUUGAACGAGGAAUUCCUAGUAAACGCAGAUCAUCAAUCUGCAUUGAUUACGUCCCUGCCCUUUGUACACACCGCCCGUCGCACCUACCGAUUGGAUGGUCCGGUGAAGCCUCGGGAUUGUGGUUCUUGCCGCUUUAUUGUGGCGUGACCGCGAGAACUUGUCUAAACCUUAUCAUCUAGAGGAAGGUGAAGUCGUAACA